This is a long non-coding RNA of Homo sapiens (human), 1321 nucleotides long. RefSeq lists it as uncharacterized. Lineage: Eukaryota; Metazoa; Chordata; Mammalia; Primates; Hominidae. The transcript has 3 exons. The record is from RefSeq and is a predicted model, not a curated record.
GUUAUUUUUGGUGAUGGUCAGUCUGGUCAACCACAAGGGAGACACAGAGGAGGCAAAGGAAAAAACAAGUUUCUUAUACUCAAGGUCCUAGAGGGACAGAGUCACUGCAUGCUGACAGGGAGUGAUGUGGAAAAGAGCACCAAGGAAAAAGGCUCAGCCAAGCAAGUGGGGAGCAGAGAGCGGGCAAACACCAGAAGCCAUAGGUUAAGACAUGAGGACUUCUACUGAAACUUCUCUAAAUAUGGAACCAAGACUUCAUCUGAGUUUGAGAUUAAGAGAAGAAAUUAUCACAGCUCCAUGAGGAAGAAAAAAUAAUCUGUGACUUCUGUACCUUCUUCAUGACCACCGGGCAAGACUGACUCUCUGACCAGUGCACAGGAGACUCAUCAAUAUCUAUCUAAGCCCUUUCUCUCUAACAGCUGCCAGAGUUUGGUCUUCUAUCAUCUCAGGCCAAGGAAGCGCAGUGGUUACACUCAUCUCCACUCCGGUCACCUGCUUUCCAUUUUAUGCGAGCAGGUCCUGCCUUACAAAAUAAACGUAUCUGCUGAGAAAUGCCAAUGAGGGAGACAGAAGAGAUCUUCAAAGGGAAAGGCAGAUUUUGUAAGUGGUUGUUGAUGGACCAAAUUCCAUGUUAUAAAUCUUCUCAGGGUGCAGUAGUUGAUAUAACUCCAUUGAGAUGGACCCUGAAAACAAAUAUGCACAAAAGGAAUUUUACAGAUAAAUCCGUGUUCCAUGCCUAGAAUAAAGUAAUACCAUUAUAAUCAUUAUCUGCUUUCAAUAUCCAACCCUGCCAUUUAGUUUCAGCUUCAGGUCCACCGGAUCCUUCAAAUAUUUCUUCAUACAAUCUCCUUUUGUCCCUCAGGACCUGUUGGAAAGAAAGGCGUCCAAUGCUAAUAAGGAAAAGAGAAGAGCCUUCCUCUCCAUGCAGGUUUAAGUCUACUGAAAGUGGAAAUUACUCUUUUAUUUAUAAAUACUGAUAGGACUCUUUUGGUAGCAGGGAACAUGGACCCACUUAUGCAACCUUAAGUAAAAACGGUAAUUUAUGGUAAAGGAAAAUGGAUAGCUGUCAGAAUUCUAAGCAGGAAGGUCAUAAACAAGCUGGAAUCAGAAAGUGGGAGGUUGUUGGGAUCCUUGGAACUACCUCGACCCUGCAAUCAGACAGACUCCUCUACCUGCCCUCUGUGUCCUUGGACAAACUGCUCAACCUCCCUAUGCGUCAGUUUCCUCAUCUGUAAAAUGGGAACAAUGAUAUCCAUCUUUUAAGAUUUUUGUGAGGAUUGAAUGAAUUAAACAAGUAAAGAGAUUGGAUCUAGGUCUGAAA